CUACGGGUGGCAGCAGUGGGGAAUCUUGGACAAUGGGCGAAAGCCUGAUCCAGCCAUGCCGCGUGAGUGAAGAAGGCCUUAGGGUUGUAAAGCUCUUUCGGCGGGGACGAUAAUGACGGUACCCGCAGAAGAAGCCCCGGCUAACUCCGUGCCAGCAGCCGCGGUAAUACGGAGGGGGCUAGCGUUGUUCGGAAUUACUGGGCGUAAAGCGCACGUAGGCGGACUGUUAAGUCGGGGGUGAAAUCCUGGGGCUCAACCUCAGAAUUGCCCUCGAUACUGGCAGCCUUGAGUACGGGAGAGGUGAGUGGAAUUCCCAGUGUAGAGGUGAAAUUCGUAGAUAUUGGGAAGAACACCAGUGGCGAAGGCGGCUCACUGGCCCGUAACUGACGCUGAGGUGCGAAAGCGUGGGGAGCAAACAGGAUUAGAUACCCCUGUAGUC
RNAcentral lists this ribosomal RNA (439 nucleotides) under uncultured bacterium. RNAcentral describes it as "partial 16S ribosomal RNA". It matches the Rfam family "Bacterial small subunit ribosomal RNA", at positions 339 to 795 of the family's 1533-position model. The record is from RNAcentral.